RNAcentral lists this ribosomal RNA (465 nucleotides) under Vreelandella stevensii. RNAcentral describes it as "partial 16S ribosomal RNA". It matches the Rfam family "Bacterial small subunit ribosomal RNA", at positions 338 to 795 of the family's 1533-position model. The record is from RNAcentral. Lineage: Bacteria; Pseudomonadati; Pseudomonadota; Gammaproteobacteria; Oceanospirillales; Halomonadaceae.
CCUACGGGUGGCUGCAGUGGGGAAUAUUGGACAAUGGGGGCAACCCUGAUCCAGCCAUGCCGCGUGUGUGAAGAAGGCCCUCGGGUUGUAAAGCACUUUCAGUGAGGAAGAACGCCUGGUGGUUAAUACCCAUCAGGAAAGACAUCACUCACAGAAGAAGCACCGGCUAACUCCGUGCCAGCAGCCGCGGUAAUACGGAGGGUGCGAGCGUUAAUCGGAAUUACUGGGCGUAAAGCGCGCGUAGGUGGCUUGAUAAGCCGGUUGUGAAAGCCCCGGGCUCAACCUGGGAACGGCAUCCGGAACUGUCAAGCUAGAGUGCAGGAGAGGAAGGUAGAAUUCCCGGUGUAGCGGUGAGAUGCGUAGAGAUCGGGAGGAAUACCAGUGGCGAAGGCGGCCUUCUGGACUGACACUGACACUGAGGUGCGAAAGCGUGGGUAGCAAACAGGAUUAGAUACCCUGGUAGUC